GAAUAUGGGGGGCCCAUCCUCCAAGGCUAAAUACUCCUGACUGACCGAUAGUGAACCAGUACCGUGAGGGAAAGGCGAAAAGAACCCCGGCGAGGGGAGUGAAAAAGAACCUGAAACCGUGUACGUACAAGCAGUGGGAGCACGCUUAGGCGUGUGACUGCGUACCUUUUGUAUAAUGGGUCAGCGACUUAUAUUCUGUAGCAAGGUUAACCGAAUAGGGGAGCCGAAGGGAAACCGAGUCUUAACUGGGCGUUAAGUUGCAGGGUAUAGACCCGAAACCCGGUGAUCUAGCCAUGGGCAGGUUGAAGGUUGGGUAACACUAACUGGAGGACCGAACCGACUAAUGUUGAAAAAUUAGCGGAUGACUUGUGGCUGGGGGUGAAAGGCCAAUCAAACCGGGAGAUAGCUGGUUCUCCCCGAAAGCUAUUUAGGUAGCGCCUCGUGAAUUCAUCUCCGGGGGUAGAGCACUGUUUCGGCAAGGGGGUCAUCCCGACUUACCAACCCGAUGCAAACUGCGAAUACC
RNAcentral lists this ribosomal RNA (523 nucleotides) under Shigella sonnei. RNAcentral's name for it is "partial 23S ribosomal RNA". It matches the Rfam family "Bacterial large subunit ribosomal RNA", at positions 440 to 964 of the family's 2925-position model. The record is from RNAcentral. Lineage: Bacteria; Pseudomonadati; Pseudomonadota; Gammaproteobacteria; Enterobacterales; Enterobacteriaceae.